Molecule: long non-coding RNA, 1341 nt
Organism: Scomber japonicus (chub mackerel)
Lineage: Eukaryota; Metazoa; Chordata; Actinopteri; Scombriformes; Scombridae
Exons: 4
Source: RefSeq, a predicted model, not a curated record
AGCUUUUGUGUGAGUAUUUACAGCUCUUCACUUAAUACUGGUUUACAAGAAUCAGCUGCAAAACCAUGGCUACAGUCACUGUUGAAUAUUGUAAAGGAUGAAGCUAUGCAUAUCGCUACCAGGAGCUGGCUGGUGCCAUAAGGCAGGUUCCUGGUGUGCUUGUGACGGGAGUCAAGGGGAGAACAGACAGUUUUGAGGUGUCACUGAAUGGUGAGCUGAUCCACUCCAAGCUGGAUACAGAAGUGUUUCCUGAUACUUCGCAGAUGGUGGAGUUGGUGAAGAAGACGGUUGGGGUAAAAGGGGGGGAGGGGAAGUCAAAGGCAGUGAACCGGAAGAACAAAUGUGUUCACCAUUAGAAGAUUGAAAGUUACAACAGGAUCCCUCACACCUGCCUAUUUGAAUACAAGAAAAUAUUUGUGUUUGUAGACUAAGUUUCACCAUCAUGGAAAGAUCAAACCUCAUGAAUACGGACAAAGACAAGAAGGUGAUGAGAGAGCUUUGAGGAGCUGGGCACUGAUUCGUACUUCUAUUUAUGAAUGUAUGCACUGAAAACAUGGGUGUGUACACGAUGCAAACCAAGAAGCUUUUCAGCUGAUCUGGAACCUUAGAAACUGCUCUCAUCAUGUCUGUCUCUAACUCAUUAUUAGGAGUUUAAAGAAAUAAUUUGAUAUUUUUGGUAAAACACAUAUUAGCUUUAGCUUUUUUGCUGUGAGUUAAACAAGAAGACUGACAGAUUUCCCCAAUGAGAGAGGUGUUAAUGUCCUCAUCUAAUUCUCUUUAAGAAAGUGAAUCGGCAUGUUUCUUGAAAAAUGCCCAACUAUGUAAUCUUUGUGUGUUUGCUGGCAGAAUGUGCGUCACUCAUUUCAUCUUCCUUGUCAUUUAUAAUCUCAAACACUUCAUGAACAUGGACUCAUAUCUGCCAUUCAUGCCUUUCUUUCUGUUCCCUGCAUGGUGUUUGGUUGUGAUGAGCUGAGCACUGCAAAUGUUACACAUAACAUGUCACUAUUUAAAUGACUUCCUGUUAUGCUAUUGUUAACCAGUUUGUAACCUAUUCUAAAAAAAGAAAACCCAAACUACGUUAUAGAAAUGCAAUAAAAUAUCACUGAAAAUCCAAUAAUAUGAUCAUUUCUGAUGAUUUUCAUGGCACUUGAUAAAAAGUUAGCAAGCUGUUGUAGAAAAGAAGGCCACGCAGGCACGCCUCUAGUCAAAUUUCCUCCUUUGUAAUGAUCAGUACCAACAGUGCUGUCUAUGUGCCUGGCUGGACUGAUAUGAUCGUCCACCUGAAUACACAUCACAGCGUCUUCGACUUCCUGAACUGUCCCCGUUCCAACGUCCCUCUUU